UAAAUUGAGAGUUUGAUCCUGGCUCAGGACGAACGCUGGCGGCGUGCCUAACACAUGCAAGUCGAGCGAUGAAGCUUCCUUCGGGAAGUGGAUUAGCGGCGGACGGGUGAGUAACACGUGGGCAACCUGCCUCAAAGUGGGGAAUAGCCCUCCGAAAGGAGGAGUAAUACCGCAUAAUAUGAAGGAAUCGCAUGGUUCUUUCAUUAAAGAUUUAUCGCUUUGAGAUGGGCCCGCGGCGCAUUAGCUAGUUGGUAAGGUAAUGGCUUACCAAGGCGACGAUGCGUAGCCGACCUGAGAGGGUGAUCGGCCACAU
Molecule: ribosomal RNA, 313 nt
Filed under: Clostridium ganghwense
Lineage: Bacteria; Bacillati; Bacillota; Clostridia; Eubacteriales; Clostridiaceae
Description: bacterial SSU rRNA
Rfam family: Bacterial small subunit ribosomal RNA
Source: RNAcentral